UCAACUUUAUUAGAAGAGACGCAUUUAUUAGAUAAAAAGCCAGUUCAUGCUUUUACAGUAUGAAAAUUGGUGAUUUAUAAUAACUUAGCAAAUCGCAAAGUGAAAACAGGCGAUAAAUCAUUCAAGUUUCUGACCUAUCAGCUUUCGACGGUAUGGUAUUGGCUUACCGUGGCAGUGACGGUUAACGGGGGAUUAGGGUUCGAUUCCGGAGAGGGAGCCUGAGAAACGGCUACCACAUCUAAGGAAGGCAGCAGGCGCGCAAAUUACCCAAUUCUAACAGUUUGAGAGAGGUAGUAACAAGAAAUAACAAUACAAGGCAGUUAAAAUGCUUUGUAAUUGGAAUGAUAGAAAUUUAAACCCUUUUUAAAGUAUCAAUUGGAGGGCAAGUCUGGUGCCAGCAGCCGCGGUAAUUCCAGCUCCAAUAGCGUAUAUUAAAAUUGUUGCAGUUAAAAAGCUCGUAGUUGAAGUUCUGCUGAAAGUAACCGGUCUGCUUUUAAUAAAAGUGGUAUCUUGGUAUGUAUUUAGCAAUGAUGUCCUUUGAAGUGUUUUUUACUUUAUUGUAAUAAAGCAUAUUCAGGACUUUUACUUGAGAAAAUUAG
Molecule: ribosomal RNA, 599 nt
Filed under: Hepatozoon canis
Lineage: Eukaryota; Apicomplexa; Hepatozoidae
Description: bacterial SSU rRNA
Rfam family: Eukaryotic small subunit ribosomal RNA
Source: RNAcentral